This 481-nucleotide ribosomal RNA is filed under the name uncultured bacterium. RNAcentral's name for it is "partial 16S ribosomal RNA". It matches the Rfam family "Bacterial small subunit ribosomal RNA", at positions 28 to 507 of the family's 1533-position model. The record is from RNAcentral.
GACGAACGCUGGCGGCGUGCUUAAUACAUGCAAGUCGACUGAAGCAGCGGUAGCAAUAUCGCUUUGUCGGUGGCGCACGGGUGAGUAACACGUAGGUAAUCCGCCUUCAGGUCUGGCAUAACCCCGGGAAACCGGGGCCAAUAGCAGAUGAUGCACCGGCUCGACAUCGAGACAGUUGUUAAAUCUAUGGCGCUGGAAGAUGAGCCUGCGUCUGAUUAGCUAGUUGGCGGGGUAACGGCCCACCAAGGCAACGAUCAGUAGCUGGACUGAGAGGAUGAUCGGGCACAUGAGAACUGAGAUAGGGUCCGGACUCCUGCGCGAGGCAGCAGUGAGGAAAAUAGUUCAAUGGGUGAAAUCCUGAAGCAGCGCCGCAGCGAGAAGGACGAAGGGCGUGAGGUUGUAAACCUCUGUAGAGAGAGAAAAAGAUCGUAAUCAUUGGGGCGUGACGGUAACUGAAAAGUAAGCCCCGGCUAACUACGUG